UGGGGAAUAUUGGACAAUGGGCGCAAGCCUGAUCCAGCCAUGCCGCGUGAGUGACGAAGGCCUUAGGGUUGUAAAGCUCUUUUGGCGGGGACGAUAAUGACGGUACCCGCAGAAUAAGCCCCGGCUAACUACGUGCCAGCAGCCGCGGUAAUACGUAGGGACCAAGCGUUGUUCGGAUUUACUGGGCGUAAAGGGCGCGUAGGCGGCAUGACAAGUCACUUGUGAAAUCUCUGGGCUUAACCCAGAACGGCCAAGUGAUACUGUCGCGCUAGAGUGCAGAAGGGGCAAUCGGAAUUCUUGGUGUAGCGGUGAAAUGCGUAGAUAUCAAGAGGAACACCUGAGGUGAAGACGGGUUGCUGGGCUGACACUGACGCUGAGGCGCGAAAGCCAGGGGAGCAAACGGGAUUAGAUACCCGAGUAGUCCCUGAGCGGGCUGGCAAGGCGCAU
RNAcentral lists this ribosomal RNA (447 nucleotides) under uncultured bacterium. RNAcentral's name for it is "bacterial SSU rRNA". It matches the Rfam family "Bacterial small subunit ribosomal RNA", at positions 355 to 825 of the family's 1533-position model. The record is from RNAcentral.